Molecule: long non-coding RNA, 228 nt
Filed under: Olea europaea (common olive)
Lineage: Eukaryota; Viridiplantae; Streptophyta; Magnoliopsida; Lamiales; Oleaceae
Description: long non-coding RNA (OEUR_LNC005857)
Source: RNAcentral
AGAGAAACAUGUGAAGUGAAAUAACCAAAUCCCCAACUUGAAGGCGAUUUCGAAACCCUAAGCCCCAAAUCAAGGAUAUCAAAUACCCAACCAUCGUUCAUAUUUGGACGAGCCUAACCAAAGAGUGGAGAAGCAACACCCAUUUCAUUUAAUUACAUUGACGACGGCGGAGCAGUGGGCAUGCCGAUGGACGAAGAUUACGAGAGGGUUAUGCUCUGAAAUGUGAAG